CGACACUGAGGCACUGGCUGGUGCGGCCGUCACUGCCGCUUCCCCGGGUCUGGAUGGGGGCGCUCGCGGCGGCAGCGGGGGCGGUGGCCCCAGCGGGAAAUCCGGAAAGGCGGCGGGGUUGGCACCGGCCACCAGCAGGUGCCGAGUGCGGGCUGCCAAUAAGGCGUGAUUGAGAGGCCGGAUGGGCACGUGGAUGAAAUCCAUCGUCGUGGUGGCCAGCGGGGAGCGCCCAGGCGCCAUGGGCGCGUCCUGCUCCACCAGGGCGACCCUGGGCGCUGAGAACCGGGAAUCUUCCUUGGGGACCAGAGCGACGCCUCCUGCGGCCGCCCCCGGCGGGACAGCCGCGGCUCCUCCUCCAGCCGCCGCGCCACCCAGAGCCCGAGGAUUGCCCUUCAGAAGCGGACCCGCAGAGUCCUCGGACUCGGAGCCAUCCUCCUCCUCAACCUCCACCGCAGUGGGCUGCGGAGACGGCUUCACUGGGACCCCGGACCAAUGAGGGCUCCCAGAGGCCGGGAGCAGCAGCUGCCGGGAUGGUGACAGGCCCCGGGGCAGCACCUUAUGGGCAGCUGCCGUCCCGGAGCUGUCUCCAGCCUUGCCCCCGGACCGGCUCAUGAGCGGAGACAACACUCUCUGGGUGGCAGGGGCAGCCGGUGGAUCUUCAGGAAGUUCGGGGCCAAACAGGCACCAAGAGCUGGUGACCUCGCAGGCGGGAGGGCUGGAUUGGCUCUGCCCGGGACCUGAUGGCGCCAACAGAGUGUCCAAGACACUGUCCAGCAGUCCGCUGUCCUUUUCUGGAGGUCUAGAACUGCUGCCUCCAGUACCCCUUGUAGCUUCAGCUCUGGAAUAUGCGCCCUCCACGUCCGUCAGCGACUGCUGGUCCUGCGUCUUUUCGUCUAGCGGGUCCUGUCCCUGGCAGGGCCGAGGGAAGAGUAACCCGUCCAGGGAGAUAGGUAUGGCCGGAACUUCAGGCAAGGUGUCCGAGGUCUGGCUCCCUUGGAACGGGCCUGCGGCUGGGCGACACAGCAGUGGAGAUCCGACCUCGGGGGAGGGCGGGCCGCCCGCCACGUGGGGAGCCCGGGGACCCUUUGCCUUCAGCUCAGUCAUGACGACCUGGACUCUCUUUUUCUCCUCCCCCGUCUCCAGGGAGGAGGGAAAAGGGAAGGAGGAGGGGGUUUCGGGAAUAUAGGGGCAGAGGGAGGAGAAAGUGGGUGUUGAAUGUGGCUGGACCGGAGGGAUCUCCACCUCCUGGGUCGGGGGGGCGCGGGAGGGCGGCGCUGGUCAGCUCCUGCCCUUGGCCUCCAUCCUGUUGUCAGGGGAACGGUGGCUGUCGUUUGUCCCAGAGAGCGGCAAGUGGGGAGCGCAAGAAAAAGUAGUUAUUGUAGGGAUCUCGUCUCCUAACUCGGAGAGUUCUCCAAGAGAGUUCUCCGACUUCUAUCCGAGGACUGGAGACGCAGAGUACUCACAAGUCCGGCACUUGAGUGACUGCGGCUGCGACGGCAAUUCAGUGACACGCAACUCCUUUAUCUCCCGACUUUUUCUCUGGCAUCAAACUCGUGCAUGCUGUGAAGCUCUCAAUCCCUCGCUGAGUUCCACUGCCCCUCUCACUAAAACCCUGGGGCUAGUUGGACCUCUCGGUACAGCCCAUUCCCAGGAAGGGUCGUGCUUCUGCUGGCUCCCUACUUCGGGCGACAGUCAUCCCCGAAGAUCUCAGUUCCCAGCAGUGCGGGAGCACUAGCCGCCUCGGGUUGUAGAUUUCACUCAAAUGACAAGUGAAGCUAGUUCGCAUUGAGAAUGCUACCCACACGCGCAAAUACAACAAGGCUUACCCCGAUUAGUGACAGCUGUGGACUGGCCAGACAGCUUUCUAACAACGCCUCCUCCUCUAGGGAGGCCCCGCCCAAAGCCCCUCCCUACCCCAAUUAGGGUAGGAUCUGAAACUCUGGAAUUGGCAUUUCCACCCAUUAUUCUGAAUGCUACUCUCAAUAGCAGGUUCUUUGGGAUGGAACCUCAUAGGCAUAUUCCAUUUUGUUUUGAAAAUUAAGAAUUAUGCCCUAUCUAAUUGGAAAAACGAAUAGAUUCUAUCAGAAGUGGAAUUUUUGUCACCAUUUUAAGAUUUCAGGUUUGUAAAGAUUUAACACAGGAAGACAUUUGACUACAUUAUCUUUUAAAAUAAUAAAUGUAUCAAAGAUGAUUCUAAAUACUUUAAGAGAUUUUCUCCCUUAUGCGUUCCAUAAAAGUGAAUGCUUUCAAGUUUCUCCUGCUGCAACCAACAUGUCUUGCUCCUCUGGAGUAAUCCUCAGCGUGACAAAGAAAUUUGGGAGUGGGAGAUGGUCACACCUGUGUACCUAUGAUGGAAGUUUGGAUGUUGUGUGCCAUACUUUGAUUUGUCCUAAAGAAUGUGUUCCAAUUUUUAGUAAAUAGCACUUUAAGGAAAGUUUCCUUUAGCUCCAGCUUAUACCCUGUGCUACAUCAUAAGAUCCUCAGUAGAGAUGUUGAACAGUACUUUUUUCCCUAAAUAUUCUUAGUCUGAAAAGUAAUUAUCUUUGAACUCAUAAAAAUGAAUCCCCUCUAAAUUCAUGAAGUCAGUAGAGAAAGGUAAGAGUAUUGCAAUAUGUAUUUUAGAUAAACAGUCAUAAACUAUAUUUGACCCAAGACCAUUGGGUAUUUUAACAUCAUCUUAAAUAUACCUUGUUCAAAACAGAGUGAAUGAUUUGCAGAUUUUCUUAUAGGGCCUCAAGGUCUAGCUAUGCUAAUGAUUCAUAGUUUAUCUCAACCAUGUAUAGAAAAUACAGAAGACUCCAGGAGGUGGGGGAGCCACUAGAGGUGAGCAGCCUGGACCCCUCGAUCACCUGGGGAGGGGCUACAUGAGUGAGAAACAAACCUUUAUCAUGUUAGAUCACUAGGAUUUGGAGUUGAUUGUUCUAGCAAGUGGUUUACUCUGAUUAAUUUAGAUAUGUGGGAGUUAGGCAGAUAGAGGAAAGGUAAAGAGAAUUCCAGGAAGCAGGUAUAGUAUGUUCACAGGGCAUCUGCAAGGGGACCAUUUUGAAUAAAGCAGGAGCAAGUGUGGGCACAGAAGUAUAUGAGACUAGAGAAGUAAACUAAUUUAUUAGUAUCAUUAUUGUUGUUUUCAGGCUUCUUUUUCCAGCCUAUCUUAAAACAGUUACCGUGCUUUAUUGAGGUGUAAUUCCAAUAUCAUAUGACUCACUCAAAGUAUCAAUCAUUGAUUUUUCAUGUACUCAGAGUUGUGCAACCAUCACCCACUAUUAAUUUUGUAACAUUAGUAUAACUCUAAAAUUUCAAUAUGCACUAGCAGUUACUCUACAUUUCUGCCUAAACCUCCCAGCUGCCACUAAUAUGCUUUUUGUACUUGUGAUUUGGCUAUUUUGGAUCAAAGUUCAUCCAUGUUCCACAUGAAUCAGUACCUCUUCACUCUUUUUAUUGACAAAUAAUAUUUCAUUGUAUGGAUAAACCACAUUUUAUUUAUCCAUCUCCAUCAAUUGUUGGACAUUUGGGUUGUUUACACCUUUUGGCUACCAUGAAAAAUCCUGCUAAUGAAUAUUCAUGUGCAAGUUUUUAUGCAGCAUGUAUUUUCCUUUCUCCAGGUAUAUACGUAGGUGUGUAAUUCCUGGGUCAUAUGGUAACUCUAGGUUUAGUCUUUGGAGGAACUGCCAGACUAUGGUUCAAAUGAUUGUACAUCUUACAUUUCCACCAGCAGUGUAUAAGGGUCCUAGUUUCUUCACAUCUUUGACAACACUUCUUAUCUGUCUUUUUUGUUAUAGCCCUCCAAGUGUGGGAAAUGGUAUCUCACUGAUUUAUUUGUAUUUUCCUGAUGGCUAAUGCCACACAAUGUAUAGAAUUUGUAAAAUCAGGACAGCAUUGCCAGGUAGUCUUCUAAGCCCUUUACCUGUGUUAACUGUAAUCCUUCAGCAGUCUCACAAAAUAGGUACUGUUAUCCCAAUAUCAUAGCUGGGGAAACUGAGGCACAAGGUUACCCGGUAUUACAAAGUUAAGUACUGUAACCCAAACCCAAGACUUCAAAUGACUUCUUAAGAGUGUGAUUUUAAAUGUCAGAUGCCAUGUAAUUUGGUUUCGCGGUCGCUGCUGUAAAAUUGGCACUUGGCUUCAUUUUAAAUCUGACAAACUGUAUUUGGCUUGAUUUUGGUUGGUUAUAAUAAUUCCCUUGUCAGAAUGUCUCGGGAGGUUGUUUCCAAAAGAUUGAAAAUCUUGACGUGGGAAGACAAUAAUAAAGAUGUCCAACAUGUCCUAAAUCACCAUUAUUCCAUAAAUUUUGAUGCUGAGUGAUUAGCAUUUUUGGCACAGGAACUUCCCAAAUGUAUGAAUUGUUGAAUGAAAUAAAAUUCACUGAUUAAAUUCAGGUGUGAUGGGCCUAACUUCAAAUAUUCCUGAAGACUGUUUUUGGAGAAGAGGAUUUAAAUGUGGAAGUUAUUUUUUCUAUAGUUUGGAAAAAAACCACGUUAUCAAGCUAUAGUUGUCAUAUAAUAAACUGCAUAUAUUUAAAUUGUA
Non-coding RNA from Chlorocebus sabaeus (green monkey), 4524 nucleotides. The record is from RefSeq and is a predicted model, not a curated record. NCBI's taxonomy places the organism in Eukaryota, Metazoa, Chordata, Mammalia, Primates, Cercopithecidae.